CAUAGGACCAAAUGACUCUGCCUUGCCCAAUUUGAGCUCAAUUUGACACUCCAUGUGAGUGCACCUUCCUGAUCAAGUUUCUGGACCAGAUUAUGCAGUUGCAAAGCAAGUGCAUUAAAUCUUGGUCCAUUUCCUGCCAAACUCCCCAGUAUUGUAGUUCUUCCUAACCCAAACACCCCAGACAACUCAUUUGGCUCUAAUAUCACCUCGGUUGAGUACUGUUUCACGGCCAAGUUUAUUGCAGUAAAAUUCAGAGGUUGCUUACCGUUUAACCAGAGCACUUUUAACCUAACUACCACCUCAGUCGCAACCUACCCAUGAAGUACUAAACCCCAGACACCAUUUGGGCGACAGUGUGGCUCUGUGUGCACCAGUGCACGCGGUGACCACCGCUUUGGCACACACUGGCCGCGCCCGGAACGUCUUCUUGCUCGGGCCCCUCCUCUGCUCGGCGUCUCAGCGAGCACGGCAUGUCCCCUAGCUUCCUCUCGCCGUCGCCGUUCUCCUGGACCCCUCUCCCCCUCCGUCCGCUUCCUCACCGACGCAAGCCGCCGCGCGCCCACGGAUGAACAGUGACGGUUUUGGCUAGGAGCUCGCCGUCUUCUUCCUCCCUGCGCUCCCUUGGCCGUCUCUUCCCCGUGAGCUCUCCCUCCCGUUCCCUCUCGUCGCCUGCCUCCGAGCUCAUGCGCGCGCACACGCGUCCGCGGCGCCGGCCACGCGUCCGCGGCGACGACAGCUCGGCCUCCUCGCCCCCGCGGCUAUAUAAGCCCACCCCGAGGCCUCUGGACCUCACCAAGCUUCUUCCCUCCCUCCUAGCUACCUCCCCGACCAUUCACCCGAGCCGGAGAACCUCUCCUCGCCUCCCUCUGCCUCCAUGGCCGCCGCCCCCUCCGGCCUAAAUUCCGGCCAACCAUGCCCUCCCUCUCCUUCUUUCCACCUCCAUGAGCCCCACCAAACUCCGGCGGACCCUCCCAGUUCCUCUUUUCGUCAACGGAGCCACUGUGGCUGCGACCCCAAGACUUGGCCGCCGUCUCUGUCCUCGGACGCCGCGAACCCCGUCGCCUCGCUGCUCCUUCCCGGCCUUCAUGCGUGGUCUGAACGGGAGCGGGGCAUCUUCCUAGGCCUCCGGUGGCCUCCCCCUGGCCUGAGACGGCCGGAGCUGGCCAGGCCCCCGCCGAUGUCGCGCCCUCCCCUGGCUUCCUAUGCUUCUGGUCGGGGGGAGCGAGGAAGAGGACGACGACCUGGUCAGCCCCCCUGACCGCACCUGGCAGCGACCCAGGCGGCCGGUCCCGCCGCUGCGCGUUGACCUGGUCUGCCUAGCUGGAUAAGUGACGAGCCCCACAGCCCGUCGGACCCGCACGUCAGCGACCCAAGCCUCGGCCCCGCCUCUGAUGACGGCUCAGGGGCCUGUUUGUAGAAAUCUUUUUACAGAAUGGUCCCUGAACUUCGUCGGGCUAUAUCUUUUCGACCACAACUCCAAAUGAGUCCCCCUUCGAGAGAGAACAUUUUCCGGCGAUUCUUUCCGCGAGCUUCUCGCACAUCUUCACAAUGGUUCCUUCAUCCCCAGGCAAGCCACAAUACCCACUUGCAUGAUAGUCAUGCAAUAGCCA
Molecule: long non-coding RNA, 1610 nt
Organism: Aegilops tauschii subsp. strangulata
Lineage: Eukaryota; Viridiplantae; Streptophyta; Magnoliopsida; Poales; Poaceae
Source: RefSeq, a predicted model, not a curated record